CCAAUAGCGUAUAUUAAAGUUGUUGCAGUUAAAAAGCUCGUAGUUGAAUUUCGGGGUCAGUAGGUUGGUCAUGCCACUGGUAUGUACUGGUCUCACUGAUUCCUCCUUCCUGAUGAGCCGUAAUGCCAUUAAUUUGGUGUUGCGAGGAAUCUGGACUGUUACUUUGAAAAAAUUAGAGUGUUUAAAGCAGGCUAACGCUUGAAUACAUUAGCAUGGAAUAAUGAAAUAGGACGUUCGAUCCUAUUUUGUUGGUUUCUAGGAUUGACGUAAUGAUUAAUAGGGAUAGUUGGGGGCAUUAGUAUUCAAUUGUCAGAGGUGAAAUUCUUGGAUUUAUUGAAGACUAACUACUGCGAAAGCAUUUGCCAAGGAUGUUUUCAUUAAUCAAGAACGAAAGUUAGGGGAUCGAAGACGAUCAGAUACCGUCGUAGUCUUAACCAUAAACUAUGCCGACUAGGGAUCGGAUGAUGUUAAUUUUUUAAUGACUCAUUCGGCGCCUUACG
This 500-nucleotide ribosomal RNA is filed under the name uncultured Glomeromycotina. Its description in RNAcentral is "partial small subunit ribosomal RNA". It matches the Rfam family "Eukaryotic small subunit ribosomal RNA", at positions 591 to 1092 of the family's 1831-position model. Lineage: Eukaryota; Fungi; Glomeromycota. The record is from RNAcentral.